AUGCCAUAGAGGUACUUACUGCAACACUAGUUUUAACUGUUGUAAUAAAUACACCAAUAGCAACGGUUCUCUUGAACUUUUUAUCUACUGCAAUAUUUAUCUAUUCCCUCCAUAUUUUCCCUCUUCUAAUUUUACAAAAAAAGAAGAAAAUAAAAGUAUAGCCACUUUUAUGUGUUUUAGGCAUUUGUAUCUUGGAACACAUUGAAGCUCUCAAAAGAUUACCCAUAAAAGGUCUCCAAAUAAGUACGAUUGGUCACGAAAGAACUGAGUAAAGAAUUCUAAUCGGAAGAUCAUCAACGAAUUUGUAACUGCUCUGGAAUUUUUCUCAUUAUUUAUUCAAAUAAAAAGAAAGAGAACCCUGGCUCAGAUCUCAAUUUCUCGAUUUCAUCCCCCCCCCCCCCAGGUAUUUCUCGAUCAUUUUUUUAUGCAAAGGAUUUUUCGAUGUUGAUAGUUUAUGUGUUUUUUUUAUAGUCAUGGUUCGAAUUUGUAUGAAAUUUGAAACAAUUCUUGUUUUCUGAACAAAAUAGGGUAUGAAUCUUCUUAAAAGUUUUUCUUUAUUCUCAUAGUUAGGGUUUUGAAUUGCAAUUUUUUUGGCUUCCAUUGUUUUCUGUUUUUUUGGUUGCUUUGUGUGUUGGUUAGAACCUAAUUAGAGUAAUAUUUUUGGUGGAAUAUUUCAUUAAGAAAGUCACUUGCAGUAAAUGUCUUCUCCUUGAUCGAAAGAAGAUUUUGGUGCUUCUUGCAGAGCCAUGCUCAAAUUCUCAAUAACAGUGGGAAUAGUAAGCAUACAAUCGAUCUUUUCAGUAUUCUUUUUGCCUUGCAUUAUUCUUAGCUUCAGGUUGUUUAUGUAACUAUGUGGUAUUGGAGUUUCAGUCUUUCUUUAUCCACAAUAUACUAUCUCUAUGCACCUAAUUAUUGGUUUAUAUACAUAUAGUUUAUUGUAAGAGGAAUAGAAGAAGUAUAAAAAAGAAAAUGAUAAGAAGUUUCUUUUGAGGAUUAGUAUCAAGUAACCCAUAUUCUUUCUUGUACAAAGUGAUGCAAGUCUCUAAAUACUAAAGGCUAUUAUGAUAUGAAUGCAAAGCAGUUGAAAAAAUAAAAAACUGUAUAACUGCUUGUAACUAUGAAUGCACAUUUAUCGAUAUCAUACGUCAACACUUUAAUUUAAAAGAGGAAAAAAGUUAUUAUUUAGUGUUAUAGACACCUUCACAUUCACUGAUCUUAUACUUGACAGAGCUACAAAGUUCAUGUUCAAAAAAGGUUCCUGCACUAUUUUUAGCUAAAAAUGCAGUUACUUUUUUCCAUUUUUAAUAUGCUCUUGUAGCUGGGAUUUCACUGUGUUUGUGGUAAUCUGCUCUUGUAGCUAAUGAACAUUAUUAAAUACUGAAGCUUAACUAUUAAUCACUUGAUAUUUUGUAGUCUUUGUGAGGUUCUUGCACUUAGUGAUUUUUAAUCAUCCUAUGGUAAUUCUUGAUUACCAUAUCUUUUCAAUUGUUGAAUGUUAUAUCAGCAUUUUAUCUACGGGAGGAAGUAUAUAUGUGUGGAUUCUCACUUUUGUUCCUUAUCCUUGUUAACUCUAUGUUGAGCAAGAGCCGGUUGUCUCAAAAGUUCAAAUGUGAAUGUCCAUACUUUGGAAAAAGUUCGAAAUCAAAUACGAUUUCCUGCUCAAGAGAUAAGAACCCUUGUCUCUCUCUAUAAAUAUACUCACUAUUGAGGGUGUAGAGAAACAGUGAAGCGAGAGGAGACGCCGCUUAUACUCAAAAGCCUUGGCCAACACUUUAAUCUCGCUCGACUCUGGUGAAGGAAUCAAGUUUGAGGCUCACCACUUCAGUUCGCUGCCAUAACAUAGAUUCUUAUUUGGAUGGCCAUAAACAAUGCAUUGUGGAAUUAGAAAGUGCCUCGACCACAGGUGAUCAAGGAGCAAAGAAAAAUGGAGAUACAAGUAUAAUUAUUUUGACAUUCUUAAUAGUAAACAUAAAUGUAAAGAUAAGGUAUGGAUAGAAGAAUUAUAUAAAUAGAGAAAUUAUAUAGAGGAUUUGUAUAGGCUAGUUGGAGGAGCUAGUUGUUGGCUGCUUUAAUUGCAACUUUGCUUUGACUGUUGUUUUAAUAUUAUGUGUUAGACCAAAAAUAAAUUCCUUUCAUAAUUUAUAUAAAUUUUGUUGUACUA
This is a long non-coding RNA of Solanum dulcamara, 2161 nucleotides long. RefSeq lists it as uncharacterized. NCBI's taxonomy places the organism in Eukaryota, Viridiplantae, Streptophyta, Magnoliopsida, Solanales, Solanaceae. The record is from RefSeq and is a predicted model, not a curated record. The transcript has 2 exons.